AUCGUUGUAUGCUAUAUGGGUUGGUUGUCCUCUUAAUCAAGGAAUGCGGUGACACUGGUAUGGCAUACAAGUGAGAUGUAAGGGUAUAUCAUCACUGAAAAGUGACUCACCUGCUGAGCGUUCUGCUGUCAAAAGCUACUCAUGAAAUACAUGGGUAUAAAUAUCCUUCAGAUCUAAGAUCAUCAUAGUGACUUGCAAGCAACUCACUGUGCUUUGGUGUCAAACUACUUGAAUUUUUAAUACA
This 244-nucleotide long non-coding RNA is filed under the name Elaeis guineensis (African oil palm). Its description in RNAcentral is "long non-coding RNA (EGUI_LNC034160)". Lineage: Eukaryota; Viridiplantae; Streptophyta; Magnoliopsida; Arecales; Arecaceae. The record is from RNAcentral.